RNAcentral lists this ribosomal RNA (436 nucleotides) under uncultured bacterium. RNAcentral's name for it is "bacterial SSU rRNA". It matches the Rfam family "Bacterial small subunit ribosomal RNA", at positions 42 to 484 of the family's 1533-position model. The record is from RNAcentral.
GCGUGUCUAACACAUGCAAGUCGAGCCGAGAUUUUAAGAACUAGCUUGCUAGUUCUUAAAUGAAAGCGGCGGACGGGUGAGUAACGCGUGGGCAACCUGCCCUAUGGAAAGGGAUAGCCUCGGGAAACCGGGAUUAAUACCUUAUAAAGUGAACACUUCCCAUGGAGAGUUCAUCAAAGAUUUAUCGCCAUAGGAUGGGCCCGCGUCCCAUUAGCUAGUUGGUGAGGUAACAGCUCACCAAGGCGACGAUGGGUAGCCGGCCUGAGAGGGUGAACGGCCACACUGGAACUGAGACACGGUCCAGACUCCUACGGGAGGCAGCAGUGGGGAAUAUUGCACAAUGGAGGAAACUCUGAUGCAGCGACGCCGCGUGAAUGAUGAAGGCCUUCGGGUCGUAAAAUUCUGUCCUUGGGGAAGAUAAUGACCGGACCCAAGG